UACGGAGGGUGCAAGCGUUAAUCGGAAUUACUGGGCGUAAAGCGCGCGUAGGCGGUCUGAUAAGUCGGGUGUGAAAGCCCCGAGCUCAACUCGGGAACUGCACUCGAUACUGUCAGACUAGAGUAUGGUAGAGGGAAGUGGAAUUCCACAUGUAGCGGUGAAAUGCAUAGAGAUGUGGAGGAACACCAAUGGCGAAGGCAACUUCCUGGACCAAUACUGACGCUGAGGUGCGAAAGCGUGGGGAGCAAACAGG
Molecule: ribosomal RNA, 253 nt
Filed under: uncultured bacterium
Lineage: Bacteria
Description: partial 16S ribosomal RNA
Rfam family: Bacterial small subunit ribosomal RNA
Source: RNAcentral